AGUGAACGCUGGCGGUAGGCCUAACACAUGCAAGUCGAACGGCAGCACAGUAAGAGCUUGCUCUUACGGGUGGCGAGUGGCGGACGGGUGAGGAAUACAUCGGAAUCUACUUUUUCGUGGGGGAUAACGUAGGGAAACUUACGCUAAUACCGCAUACGACCUACGGGUGAAAGCAGGGGAUCUUCGGACCUUGCGCGAUUGAAUGAGCCGAUGUCGGAUUAGCUAGUUGGCGGGGUAAAGGCCCACCAAGGCGACGAUCCGUAGCUGGUCUGAGAGGAUGAUCAGCCACACUGGAAGUGAGACACGGUCCAGACUCCUACGGGAGGCAGCAGUGGGGAAUAUUGGACAAAGGGCGAAAGCCUGAUCCAGCCAUACCGCGUGGGUGAAGAAGGCCUUCGGAUUGUAAAGCCCUGUUGUUGGGAAAGAAAAGCAGCAGGUUAAUACCCCGCUGUUCUGACGGUACCCAAAGAAUAAGCACCGGCUAACUUCGUG
Molecule: ribosomal RNA, 492 nt
Filed under: uncultured bacterium
Lineage: Bacteria
Description: partial 16S ribosomal RNA
Rfam family: Bacterial small subunit ribosomal RNA
Source: RNAcentral